CUCCAUGUGUCUUUGGGACCUGUCGGCUGUGGCAGUCUCCCUUCCUAGCCAUGGAAAAGCAUUACUCUUGUUAAUUGGCAAAGCUGUCACCAUUUAAUUGGUAUCAGAUUCUGACUUGGACAAGUAACAGUU
Small nucleolar RNA from Ochotona princeps (American pika), 132 nucleotides. The record is from Ensembl. Lineage: Eukaryota; Metazoa; Chordata; Mammalia; Lagomorpha; Ochotonidae.